RNAcentral lists this ribosomal RNA (105 nucleotides) under Synergistaceae bacterium. Its description in RNAcentral is "partial 16S ribosomal RNA". It matches the Rfam family "Bacterial small subunit ribosomal RNA", at positions 1 to 98 of the family's 1533-position model. Lineage: Bacteria; Thermotogati; Synergistota; Synergistia; Synergistales; Synergistaceae. The record is from RNAcentral.
GCCAAGGAGAGUUUGAUCCUGGCUCAGGAUGAACGCUGGCGGCGUGCAUAACACAUGCAAGUCGGACGGGGCCGGCCGGAACGGCCCGCGCGGGCGACCGCGCGG